GUGACUUUCAAAGUUUAACGGCCGCGGUAUUUUGACCGUGCAAAGGUAGCGCAAUCACUUGUCUUUUAAAUGGAGACCUGUAUGAAUGGCAUCACGAGGGCUUAACUGUCUCCUUUCUCAAGCCAAUGAAAUUGAUCUCCCCGUGCAGAAGCGGGGAUAAGAACAUAAGACGAGAAGACCCUAUGGAGCUUUAGACACCAAGACAGUUUACGUCAAGAACCUCCCGACAAAGAACUGAACUACAUAAAGCCCUGUCCUAAUGUCUUCGGUUGGGGCGACCCUGGGGAGACAAAUAACCCCCACGAGGACUGGAGAGAUAUUCUCCAAAACCAAGAGCAACAACUCUAAGAAGCAGACACUUCUGACCAACGAGAUCCGGCAACGCCGAUCAACGGACCGAGUUACCCUAGGGAUAACAGCGCAAUCCCCUUCUAGAGCCCUUAUCGACAAGGGGGUUUACGACCUCGAUGUUGGAUCAGGACUUCCUAAUGGUGCAGCCGCUA
Molecule: ribosomal RNA, 503 nt
Filed under: Thalassoma septemfasciata
Lineage: Eukaryota; Metazoa; Chordata; Actinopteri; Labriformes; Labridae
Description: partial 16S ribosomal RNA
Rfam family: Bacterial large subunit ribosomal RNA
Source: RNAcentral